AGAACGAACGCUGGCGGCAUGCCUAACACAUGCAAGUCGAACGCUUUUGGGGCUUCGGUCCCAAAGGAGUGGCGCACGGGUGAGUAGCGCGUGGGAACCUGCCCUGUUGUGGGGGAUAACCGAGGGAAACUUCGGCUAAUACCGCAUACGCCCGGGGGAAACUCCGGGGAAAGAUUUAUCGCAGCAGGAGGGGCCCGCGUCGGAUUAGGUAGUUGGUGGGGUAACGGCCCACCAAGCCUGUGAUCCGUAGCUGGUCUGAGAGGAUGAUCAGCCACACUGGGACUGAGACACGGCCCAGACUCCUACGGGAGGCAGCAGUGGGGAAUAUUGGACAAUGGGCGCAAGCCUGAUCCAGCAAUGCCGCGUGAGUGAUGAAGGCCUUGGUUGUAAAGCUCUUUCGCACGCGACGAUGAUGACGGUAGCGUGAGAAGAAGCCCCGGCUAACUUCGCGCCAGCAGCCGC
This 462-nucleotide ribosomal RNA is filed under the name uncultured bacterium. Its description in RNAcentral is "SSU rRNA". It matches the Rfam family "Bacterial small subunit ribosomal RNA", at positions 26 to 518 of the family's 1533-position model. The record is from RNAcentral.